RNAcentral lists this long non-coding RNA (695 nucleotides) under Homo sapiens (human). Its description in RNAcentral is "long intergenic non-protein coding RNA 861". Lineage: Eukaryota; Metazoa; Chordata; Mammalia; Primates; Hominidae. The record is from RNAcentral.
AACUUUCCACAGGUAUCUUAAAAGCUUUGCUCACUCAUCCCUUCUCUGACUUAGGAUUUGAGCAUCUUUCUGUUAUGCUGUUGCCCCACUCCUAUUGCAAUACUCCCCUUCUUAAGAAAGUUUUUCUAGACUAAUGUCUAGAUUAAACUUCUUUUCUUUGACAAUAAUGAUGCCAUGACUUGGACAAAAUGCCCAUUGCCUCUGGGUCCUGCUUUCUUCACCCAGUGCUGCCUUAUUGGACUCCUUGUGCCUCUCCUUGGCUGGGGAAAUCAGAAUACACAGUGGUAUCCCACUUCUAAGAUGCCUGAUCUGAAGGACAGUAAAACAACUGACCUUUGCCAGCAUGUAAAACACAUGGUUUAACUAGUCCUCCAGGAACAACACUGAGCAAUCCUGACCUGGGACUACUUUACUCGGCCAUCUCCUACUUGAGAUGCUCCUUGUCUCUCUGUUCAAGGACACCUUUUCUGAGCCUUUCUUGAACAAGAGUGGAGGACCGAUAGGGCGAUUAAACUGUCCUUGACACAACUUUAGCAGCUAGACCAGGAGCUCCCUGCAGGUCAAGACCAUGUGUUCUCUGAUGCUUUCUCAUGGCAAGGGGAGACAUAGGGUUGCAGUAGUGAGUGGGCAUCUGUUCUCAGAAGGCAGUGCCUGGAGCACUAUAAGUACUUAAUAAACUCUUGUGAAAUUAAAAA